GUGGGGAAUCUUGCACAAUGGACGAAAGUCUGAUGCAGCGACGCCGCGUGGAGGAUGACGGUCUUCGGAUUGUAAACUCCUGUUAAGAGGGAAGAAAGGCGAACGAUUAAUACUCGUUCGAGAUGACGGUACCUCUAGAGAAAGCUCCGGCUAACUUCGUGCCAGCAGCCGCGGUAAUACGAAGGGAGCGAGCGUUAUUCGGAAUUACUGGGCGUAAAGCGCGCGUAGGCGGCCCACUAAGUCAGUUGUUAAAGGCCAUAGCUUAACUAUGGAACUGCAAUUGAUACUGGUAGGCUGAGAGGGCGAGAGAGAGAGGCGGAAUUCUCGGAGUAGCGGUAAAAUGCGUAGAUCUCGAGAGGAACACCGAUGGCGAAGGCAGUCUCUUGGCUCGUGCCUGACGCUGAGGCGCGAAAGCGUGGGGAGCAAACAGGAUUAGAUACCCCAGUAGUCC
RNAcentral lists this ribosomal RNA (451 nucleotides) under uncultured bacterium. RNAcentral's name for it is "bacterial SSU rRNA". It matches the Rfam family "Bacterial small subunit ribosomal RNA", at positions 354 to 796 of the family's 1533-position model. The record is from RNAcentral.